This 274-nucleotide ribosomal RNA is filed under the name uncultured bacterium. RNAcentral describes it as "partial 16S ribosomal RNA". It matches the Rfam family "Archaeal small subunit ribosomal RNA", at positions 473 to 747 of the family's 1478-position model. The record is from RNAcentral.
AAACCAGCACCUCAAGUGGUCAGGAUGAUUAUUGGGCCUAAAGCAUCCGUAGCCGGCUCUGUAAGUUUUCGGUUAAAUCUGUACGCUCAACGUACAGGCUGCUGGGAAUACUGCAGAGCUAGGGAGUGGGAGAGGUAGACGGUACUCGGGAGGAAGUGGUAAAAUGCUUUGAUCUCUCGAUGACCACCUGUGGCGAAGGCGGUCUACCAGAACACGUCCGACGGUGAGGGAUGAAAGCUGGGGGAGCAAACCGGAUUAGAUACCCCAGUAGUCC